CAUGCAGUCGAGCGGCAGCGGGUCCUUCGGGAUGCCGGCGAGCGGCGGACGGGUGCGUAUUGCCUAGGAAUCUGCCUGGUAGUGGGGGAUAACUCGGGGAAACUCGAGCUAAUACCGCAUACGUCCUACGGGAGAAAGCGGGGGAUCUUCGGACCUCGCGCUACCAGAUGAGCCUAGGUCGGAUUAGCUAGUUGGUGAGGUAAAGGCUCACCAAGGCUACGAUCCGUAGCUGGUCUGGAGAGGAUGAUCAGCCACACUGGAACUGAGACACGGUCCAGACUCCUACGGGAGGCAGCAGUGGGGAAUAUUGGACAAUGGGCGAAAGCCUGAUCCAGCCAUGCCGCGUGUGUGAAGAAGGUCUUCGGAUUGUAAAGCACUUUAAGUUGGGAGGAAGGGCAGUAAGCUAAUACCUUGCUGUUUUGACGUUACCGACAGAAUAAGCACCGGCUAACUUCGUGCCAGCAGCCGCGGUAAUACGAAGGGUGCAAGCGUUAAUCGGAAUUACUGGGCGUAAAGCGCGCGUAGGUGGUUUGAUAAGUUGGAUGUGAAAGCCCCGGGCUCAACCUGGGAAUUGCAUCCAAAACUGUCUGACUAGAGUAUGGCAGAGGGUGGUGGAAUUUCCUGUGUAGCGGUGAAAUGCGUAGAUAUAGGAAGGAACACCAGUGGCGAAGGCGACCACCUGGGCUAAUACUGACA
This 696-nucleotide ribosomal RNA is filed under the name bacterium Lag5. RNAcentral's name for it is "bacterial SSU rRNA". It matches the Rfam family "Bacterial small subunit ribosomal RNA", at positions 54 to 745 of the family's 1533-position model. The record is from RNAcentral.